Molecule: ribosomal RNA, 306 nt
Filed under: uncultured bacterium
Lineage: Bacteria
Description: partial 16S ribosomal RNA
Rfam family: Bacterial small subunit ribosomal RNA
Source: RNAcentral
GACAGCAGCCGCCGCGGUAAUACAGAGGGUGCGAGCGUUAAUCGGAUUUACUGGGCGUAAAGCGUGCGUAGGCGGCUUCUUAAGUCGGAUGUGAAAUCCCUGAGCUUAACUUAGGAAUUGCAUUCGAUACUGGGAAGCUAGAGUAUGGGAGAGGAUGGUAGAAUUCCAGGUGUAGCGGUGAAAUGCGUAGAGAUCUGGAGGAAUACCGAUGGCGAAGGCAGCCAUCUGGCCUAAUACUGACGCUGAGGUACGAAAGCAUGGGGAGCAAACAGGAUUAGAUACCCGUGUAGUCCCUGUCUCUUAUAC